RNAcentral lists this ribosomal RNA (715 nucleotides) under uncultured fungus. Its description in RNAcentral is "eukaryotic LSU rRNA". It matches the Rfam family "Eukaryotic large subunit ribosomal RNA", at positions 24 to 664 of the family's 3401-position model. Lineage: Eukaryota; Fungi. The record is from RNAcentral.
CCCGCUGAACUUAAGCAUAUCAAUAAGCGGAGGAAAAGAAACCAACAGGGAUUACCCUAGUAACGGCGAGUGAAGCGGUAAUAGCUCAAAUUUGAAAUCUGACCUUUACGGGUUCGAGUUGUAAUUUGUAGAGGAUGUUUCGGGCAAGACUUUGGUUUAAGUUUCUUGGAACAGAACGUCAUAGAGGGUGAGAAUCCCGUCUAGAACCGAUAGUCGAGUCCAUGUGAAACUCCUUCGACGAGUCGAGUUGUUUGGGAAUGCAGCUCAAAAUGGGUGGUAAAUUUCAUCUAAAGCUAAAUAUUGGCCAGAGACCGAUAGCGCACAAGUAGAGUGAUCGAAAGAUGAAAAGCACUUUGAAAAGAGAGUUAAAAAGUACGUGAAAUUGUUGAAAGGGAACCGUUUGAAGCCAGUCUUGCUUGCCUGUGAUCAAUCUUUGCUUCGGCUUGGAUGCACUCUCAGGUUAUGCAGGUCAACGUCAGUUUGAGAGGUGGGAAAAAAGCUUGAGGAAUGUGGCCUUCGGGUGUUAUAGCCUCUUGCUAAAUACCAUCUUUUGGACUGAGGCUCGCAGCAAAAAUGUGGGCAGGUUUGCGUUUGAGGUGAUACAUUAUUAAGACAGCUUGCUGACUUAGUUUUGUCUAUCUUCACUGUAAGCUUCGCUUCUAAUUUGCUUAGGUCGUUGACAUAAUGGCUUUAAAUGACCCGUCUUGAAACACGG